Molecule: long non-coding RNA, 527 nt
Filed under: Manihot esculenta (cassava)
Lineage: Eukaryota; Viridiplantae; Streptophyta; Magnoliopsida; Malpighiales; Euphorbiaceae
Description: long non-coding RNA (MESC_LNC001486)
Source: RNAcentral
CAUUUGGAUUUAAAGGUCUUUUAUUUUUUUUCUUUUAGUUUCUUGGUAAACACAGACUGUUUGGUUAGGUCACCAGAAUCUGAUGCCCGUUUGAUCUCACCUCCAGCUUCCCAAAGCGCGCAGACGUAUUUUCGGUUAUUUUCUAAAUCCGGUGGUCAUCCUAUCGGUAAAUGGGUCUCAGACGCCAUUUGAAGGUUGGUUUGAUCUGUCAUGCACCGAUGCAUGGAGAAGCGUGGCACUUCCGACGAGCCUCCGGUUCUUGUUAUGAGGUCGCCCUGUGGUUUCCGUCCAGUCUCCGACAACAAAUCUAUCAUUGAAUGCUGCUAUAGUUGGGUUUCUCCUUUGUUGUGACUAAGCAGGUUCUCGAUCCUCCAUUUAUGCUUUGUGUUUAAGCUUUUUGAGGGUGUUGCGUUUUAAGGCCUGAUUUCGUGUCGUGAAGCAUGGUGUGAAGUGAAUUGGUAUUCUAUGCUAAGUUUUGAUUAAAAAUGACUUUUGAUAGUAAGAUCCAUAUUACUGAAAUCAUCUCA